GUUCUAACAGCUUGCCAUAGCUUUCUGACCCUUUUUUGUUUCUUUCCGCUUGCCAUACAGUGCACCCUCAGGACUCGCGUGCGCGGUGGGAGGAGCUAACAGGAUUGUAGAGCGUCCCGGCGCGCGCCAGAGCCACAUGUGCAGGUGAGGAGGAGGAGGAAGAGGUAGACGAGGAUGCGGGAUCGUGAGGCAGCGGCUGUCAUGGUCCACAUGGCGAAGGAGGCCGGGAGCUGCAGCAGCCUGGAAGAAAACCCGGAGACGAAGCUGCUCGGCCUGCAGUGUCUGGAUGAGGGUCUGCGGGUCUGCCCGGCGGAGAGCCCGCGCCGCUGCAGCGGGACGCGCCUCUCCUCCGGAUCAGCAGACCAUGAACCCAGCAGCAGCAGCCACAUCUCCUCAGGAACCUUUUAUAGCUGCGUCAGUCAAAUCACUAUCGGUAAGUGUGAGGCUGAGCUGGUGGGGGAAACGCUCCUGGUGUCUUGUUGUUUCUGCACGUUGUCUUGUGAUUAAAAGGGUGCGUGAGUCUGGGCUCCGCCUGCAUGAAGCUGUUUGCUCGUAUAUAGUUGUGCUGUAGUUGUUCAGCAAAGGUUAUGGUGUCCUCGUUCAUUUCUCACAUCACAGAAAAGCCAUUUUCGACCCAGCUGAGGCCUCAGAUGGGUUUUUCCUGCCGGCACAGAGACACCAACAGAUGUGGGUACUACUGAGUGACAUUCGCUCUGUUAAACCUGUGCAGGAACCGCACUUCUAAUGCUGCGUUCACAUCAAACAUAAGUCGGAAUUCAAAUUAGCUGCUGUUCGCGUUUCUAAAAGUCAGGUGAUUUCAGGGGUGGGAGGAGCUACAGCUACCCCUUUUUUCCACUAAAGUAUAGGAGAAAAAACUGUAUUAAUCAGCUUCUCCUCCAUGUUAUUUUUUUGACUCCACCCACUGAUCACGCCCUCAACACAUCACUUGUGUUUAAACAAGCCAGGAGUCUGCUGAAAAAAAUGGGGCCCAAUCACGUGGUUGCACUCUCAAUCAAAAUUGGAUGUUGUAGCCCAAUCAGGGAUCAGACAUUUAAUUCAUUGCAAUCAUGAUCAGUGUUUUAUAUUUCAAACUUAUUAUUCCAGACAAAUACUCUACUAGAAGUCUGCAUCUCAUGGAGAGAUCACCACAAUGUACUGCGGCGCUGGUUUGAGCAGGAGGGGCCAAAAUCACGUCAUCAAAGCAGGAUCAAUAACUUUAAAAAAUGUUUUGAACUGACAGCAAGUGUCUCUAUUGGGUUGUCUUAACGCAAAGAGUGACCUACAAAGAUCUUUGAACAGAAAAAAGAUCAGGUUUUUGUUUCUUUUUAAGGAGAACGGCGCUCUCCUGCUACCGACAGACAGAGACGCUGCAGCUUCAGGAAAAGAGGAUUUAACCCCUUAAGACCUUUUUUUUUAAUUCUCUUCUCAGGGCCAGUUAAGCAGAAUGAACUACUGUGGUAAGAAUGUGAUGUCCACGCAUGUGGAUGCCAGGUCUGAAGAGGUUAAAAUACAGAAACCAAUAUUCUCCAAAAAAUCAAACCGAAAGUAAUAUAUGGUUCUAUUGAUAUGAGCUAAAUAUUUGUCAUCAUCUUUCUGUGACAAAAACACUUUUGAAAGAAUGUCAUCAUUGAUUGUUAAGAAUUUUUAAUGAAGAUAGGAAUUACGUCCGAUAAAAAAAGUUCUAUAGUUUUAAAGAUACUAAAGCUAUAGUCAUCAAACUUUCUCACAUGACCAAUAAUCUAAUUAUUUUUACUAGUUAACAGUUGCACCAUUUUUACCUGAUUGAUGAAGCUACUUUUUCACAGAAGUGCUCUGUGUACGGGUUACAUGAUAAAAGGAUGUUGAUAAAAUAAAAACAGGAAAAAAACUGGGAUCUGUUUAUUAGAUUUGUUUUUAUUUUAACGUCAUUCAAAAGUAUGGGAUUGGACCUUGUAUCGGCAGAUUCUCAAAAUCACAUGGGCAACAUGUUUAGCGGGUUGGCCAAAGAUCGAAGAGCUGGCGGUUCGAACCCUGCUUUUCCUCCGACGUGGCUGCACUGUUGUGUGAAUGUGCGUGAAUGCCAGAGGGGCCGCCGGCGCACACUGGCAGCUGUGCAUCAGUGGCUUACCACCACCAAGUAUGAAUGAGGAGUAAAGGGAUAACGGAAACAAACUGUAAGCGUCUGGAAAAGCACAGAAAAAUCCAAUCCAUUAAAUGACUCGGAUAUUGGAUCAGGCCCAACAAAACCUGAAUGAGCCGUCCUCAAGAAACAGCAAAACUGUGUUUGUCUUUUUCUAAAAGCUGCAGCCGUUAGCAUGAAAAUGUCUUAUUUACUUACUGAAACAUGAUUAAGUACAGAGACCAAAGAGGCACAUGCAGACAGUGAUUUGUACUCAAUCUGCUUCACAGUAAACAGUAGGGGUGUAACGGUACACUAACAUUUCAAUUCGGUUUGGUUCAGAAUUUGUUGAUGUCCUUUUUGGAUGUUAUAUUAUAUAGAUUAUUUCUGAUUGUCAUUUUUGCUGCCAUUUUUUCGGUACAAAAAGGCAGAAAAAAUGUCUUGUAAAAUGCAUUUGUUGGUUUUAUAUAACAAUAAAUAAAAUUGACCCAUGUAGGUGAUCUGCUAUAUAAAAUAAUACAACCAUUAGCUGUCAGGAACCCAAAACUUUGGGUUUAAUAAUCUUAUAAUCUUGUAGACCUGACUGUUACAGUCGGGUGAUGCGGUUUUAAGUGCGUUAACAGAUCAGAUGUGUUACUGUUGCAUACGCUUUUCUUCGUGUAACAAUGUCGACACACAGCAUUCAACUUAUCCGACGGUCUUUUUCCUUCAUGGAUGCUGACAACAAAGCCAAAGGGUUCCCACACAGGAGAGCAUAAGGAGAUGGGGGGGUCCUCAUCUCUGGCCUCACGUCUGCGUCAGCCAUGCUGAUACUGUUGACAUGCUCACGGUCACCUCCCUCACCUAAUAGCUGUUGAACCUGAACUGCAAUGACGUUUCUGACCGUGGUCGGAAAACGCAGAGGAGAUCCUCUCCAGGGUCCAAGGUGGAUCUUCCUUCGGGGGUUCACUUCGCCGUUCAGGACCCUCAGAGCCUCCAGAGCGGGUUAAUAUAAGAACCAGUCUCCAAUCUUUUGGAGGAGACUAACAUUUUUUAUUUCUGUUCUGACAAACUGAGCAACACACCCUGAGCAAGCUCACACACAUGCUGUUGCGCUGUGCGCUCUGCCCCCCCACCCUCUCCUCUGUCCUGCACACACGCAGACACCAACUCAUUGGAGAACACAUGCUUCAGCACACACUCAUUCCACAACAUAGUGUCUCGGCGGAAACCCACGGUUAACACUAGUUCCGCCUCGGCGCAAAGUUAAUACAUUUGGGGGGGACAACAACAACAAAAAGAAAAAAGGAAAACCAAAAACGGUACAAAAGUGAACCGAACUGAAAUUGCUGCACCGAAACGGUUCGGUAUAACUACGUGUACCGUUACACCCUCAGUAAACAGCGGAUAACUGUAUGUCCUACAGUGGGUCUGUCCCUGCUUCUUCCUCCAAGAAUAAUCUUUUUCCUAAACCCACACUGCUGAACAAACCCACAGUUUUCUUGUCUUUUUGGAUGAUGAAUAGCUGUUGUGAACUCCAUACAUGUCCUGAAUCGCUGUCUGGCUGCAUGAGAGGCACAGCUAUAGCAACAUGAUGAAUACAGACAAAAACCAGUUCCACGGCCCAGCUGUGGGGAAAACAGCCUCAGUGGAACAGACAACAUUAAUUCUGUGCCGCCAUUCGAAGAACUAGCUCCAACAUGUCAG
Molecule: long non-coding RNA, 3784 nt
Organism: Oryzias sinensis (Chinese medaka)
Lineage: Eukaryota; Metazoa; Chordata; Actinopteri; Beloniformes; Adrianichthyidae
Source: Ensembl